GAUUAACGCUGGCGGCGUGCCUAAUGCAUGCAAGUCGAACGUGGUCCCUUCGGGGAUGAACGUGGCGGACGGGUGAGGAACACGUGGGGAACCUGCCCAUUGGUGGGGGUAGCCCGCGGAAACGCGGGGUAAGUUCCGCAUACGCUGGCCGGGGGAGUAGCCCGGGUCAGGAAAGGGCGCGUUCGCGCGCUCGCCGAUGGAGGGGCCUGCGCCCGAUUAGCUGGUUGGUGGGGUAACGGCCUACCAAGGCGGUGANCGGUAGCUGGUCUGAGAGGACGGCCAGCCACAGGGGACGUGAGACACGGCCCCCACUCCUACGGGAGGCAGCAGCAAGGAGUUUUCCGCAAUGGCGCAAGCCUGACGGAGCAACGCCGCGGUGGGGAUGACACCUUUCGGGCGUAAACCCUUUUCUUGGGACGAAGCAGUGACGGUACCUGAGGAAGAAGGCCCGGCUAACUACGUGCCAGCCGCCGCCGU
RNAcentral lists this ribosomal RNA (477 nucleotides) under uncultured bacterium. Its description in RNAcentral is "bacterial SSU rRNA". It matches the Rfam family "Bacterial small subunit ribosomal RNA", at positions 28 to 521 of the family's 1533-position model. The record is from RNAcentral.